GGUAGGCUUAACACAUGCAAGUCGUGCGAGAAAGUAUCUUCGGAUAUGAGUAGAGCGGCGGACGGGUGAGUAACGCGUAGGAAUCUACCUAGUAGAAGGGGAUAGCCCGAGGAAACUCGGAUUAAUACCGUAUACCUCCUUAGGGAGAAAGAGGGCCUCUCUUGAUGCUCUCGCUACUAGAUGAGCCUGCGUAAGAUUAGCUUGUUGGUGAGGUAAUGGCUCACCAAGGCUACGAUCUUUAGCUGGUCUGAGAGGACGAUCAGCCACAUUGGGACUGAGACACGGCCCAGACUCCUACGGGAGGCAGCAGUGGGGAAUAUUGGACAAUGGGCGCAAGCCUGAUCCAGCCAUACCGCGUGUGUGAAGAAGGCCUUCGGGUUGUAAAGCACUUUAAGCAGGGAGAAAAAGUUAUAAGUUAAUACCUUAUAACCGUGAUGUUACCUGCAGAAUAAGCACCGGCUAAUUCCGUGCCAGCAGCCGCGGUAAUACGGAAGGUGCAAGCGUUAAUCGGAAUUACUGGGCGUAAAGCGCGCGUAGGUGGUUUGUUAAGUUGGAUGUGAAAGCCCUGGGCUCAACCUAGGAACUGCAUCCAAAACUAACUCACUAGAGUACGAUAGAGGGAGGUAGAAUUCAUAGUGUAGCGGUGGAAUGCGUAGAUAUUAUGAAGAAUACCGGUGGCGAAGGCGGCCUCCUGGAUCUGUACUGACACUGAGGUGCGAAAGCGUGGGUAGCGAACAGGAUUAGAUACCCUGGUAGUCCACGCCGUAAACGAUGACAACUAGCUGUUGGGAGACAAUGUCUUUCAGUGGCGCAGCUAACGUUUUAAGUUGUCCGCCUGGGGAGUACGGCCGCA
Molecule: ribosomal RNA, 853 nt
Filed under: uncultured Gammaproteobacteria bacterium
Lineage: Bacteria; Pseudomonadati; Pseudomonadota; Gammaproteobacteria
Description: bacterial SSU rRNA
Rfam family: Bacterial small subunit ribosomal RNA
Source: RNAcentral